AUGUGUGUCCCAAAAAAUCAAGGAGGUAUGGGCUUCAGAGAUAUACACUAUUUCAACCUAGCAUUGUUAGCUAAACAAGCGUGACGUCUUGUAGAUAAUCCUGAUUCUUUAUGUGCUACUUUGAGAGCUAAGUAUUUCCCUUAUGGUGAUUUGGUGAAUGCAACUUUAAAAAAGGAUGCGCCCUUACUUGGAAAAGUAUUAUGGCAGGAGUCAACUCUCUGA
This 222-nucleotide ribosomal RNA is filed under the name Triticum aestivum (bread wheat). Its description in RNAcentral is "partial small subunit ribosomal RNA". Lineage: Eukaryota; Viridiplantae; Streptophyta; Magnoliopsida; Poales; Poaceae. The record is from RNAcentral.